UCACAAUUUCUUACAUCCAGAAACCAAAUCUCAUUUUUACAUGUAUUGGAUUUUGGAUUCGACAUACGAUUGAAUGAAAUUUAUCGGAUUCCGAAGAUAAUUCCCAUUUCUUCAGUUUUGUCUCAGCUGGGUUUUCGCCUACACAAAGAGGGAAUUUGAAUUGAUUGCCCGCAAGAAAAUGGCGUCCAUUUUCAGGAGUGGUUGUCCAGUGGCUUCACGUCUCUCUCAGCCAUGAUUGAUGACUUUUUUUUUUUUGGUAUAAUCUUUCCCAUUGUAAUCAUGAAGAAACGACCAAAAACGGGAUUGCUUUCGACCUCAAGUUGUGCCACUCCUCUGGCUCCGCCCUAAAGAUCAAUUUCUUUGCCUUAUCCAAACUCGUACUGUUUUAUAUUUAAUUUCUUAUGGGGUUUUUAUUAUAUGUUCAAUAAUGGACUGGUUUGAACGAAUCUUCCGUUCCUUUUCUUCAUGUCCCUGCUGUUGAGCCCACCCUUUUCUUUUUCUGGGUGGAAUCUGUCAGAUCAGAACCCAUGAAAUCAUUUGCUUCACCGUGUUAGAUCAGAUAGUUUAUGGCAUCGGAAUCAACUUGGAUAUUGGAAAUUUGGGAGUUAAAAAGAGUCAAUUUCUUCUGUUUUGGACAGGGAAAUGGCAUAUCCAAGAGAUCAACCUUAUCUUGUCAACUGCUAUGUACAUGUGCGAUCGAAACCCAUUUGAGUUUUCUUUUGUUUUCUUUUUUUUUUUUUUUCCCUUCCUUGUCUCUCAUAAGUCAUAUUCAACUUGGAUUUGAAGACAGGCACUGAGAGGGAUUACCAUUGGUUGUGAGGAGAAGAAGAGAACCUGGGUCAGAUAAUAUAAUGAACAUGGAGUGCUUGUGAAUUUGCAUUAUCCAUUAAAGUACACGUGGCACAACAAUAUAUGUCCAAUUAGGAUCACAUGUGGACCACACUUGGCACUUAUCCUCCUAUGUUCUCAUAGGAAAGCAUGAGGAUGAUAUUAUUAUUUUGAAUGCAAAGACUAGAAAAAAGUGAAUGAGGAAAUUUCCAAAAGAAAAUUCCCAAACUAUAUCUUUGUUAUACUAAUAAGGAGGGGGGGAAGGAGGCGGCUUCUAUAUUCUUCUUUCUUUCUUUCUUUUUUCUAUUCUAUUCUUAUUUUUCCCACCCAGUGAUGAUGGCACAUGGGUGACACUGCAGCAGCCGUUGCUUUCUUCUUAUAAAUAGUGAGUUGAGUGGUCAAUUUGGAUAUAUCUCACAGUCUUAGCAGGGUGUGGUGGAAUCUGCGAGUGAUUUUGUUUAGCAAGAAGGAAAGAUUGAGGGAAAAUGGAGGGAAAGUCUAAAGGGUAUCAAACCUCCUCUUUCGUUGCGGAUCUUUUCGAUGUCAAAGAGCCACCAUUGUCAUCAGCAUCAGGAGUUUUUGCAGCAAUCUUUCCAUCUCCACAGAAGGGUUCUAGCUCUGGGAGUUGGCCAAAACAGACCAAUGAAAAUCAACCACAGCACACCAAACUAGGAAAUUCAGAUGUGAUGAUACUUUCAAGGAGGGAGCUUGGAGCCAUGUCAUCUGAGUUCAUCUCUAUACUAUGGAGGGCAAGAUGGGUACUCCCAUGCCCCACCAGCUGGACCAUCCCAUGCUCCACCCCCCACUUUGAAGAAAAGUGGGGGAGAAGAUGACCCAACUGGAAACAACUCUCAAACUGCUUCCAGGGGAAAUUGGUGGCAAGGUUCCCUUUAUUAUUAGGACCUCCACUUUACCUCAUGAAUUCCCACCUAUUUUCUAAGGUAUGUCGUCAGUCAUUUACUUCUGCUGUCAUGUUGUCUGUGUAAAUGCAUACUUUGAAUCCUCUCUGUUAGUUCUGAUAGGUCGGAGUGAAUUUGAGAUGUCUCUUCGAUGAUACAGCGUUUACUUACCCCUCAUAUAUUCUGUCAAUGAAUGAAACAAUUAUUGAAAACUUA
Non-coding RNA from Momordica charantia (bitter melon), 1943 nucleotides. Lineage: Eukaryota; Viridiplantae; Streptophyta; Magnoliopsida; Cucurbitales; Cucurbitaceae. The record is from RefSeq and is a predicted model, not a curated record.